RNAcentral lists this long non-coding RNA (2685 nucleotides) under Homo sapiens (human). Its description in RNAcentral is "HSALNT0165984". Lineage: Eukaryota; Metazoa; Chordata; Mammalia; Primates; Hominidae. The record is from RNAcentral.
CUUCUGGCAGGCAAACGUACUAAAGAGUUACAGGUGGUGCAGAUACGGUUUGGAAGGAAUCCCAGCUGGGCCUCCUCCCAGAAGCCUUCUGAUCACUCACCAGAUAACUCUAGCUGCUUGCAGAGUCCUGGGAAUCUUAGCUUCUCCAGGAAACCAGCUUCAAGGGCAACAAGAGGUUCUGAGGAGCUAGAAUAAUCUCGGAAGCUGAAACUGCUUUGUCCUUUUGCUUCCUUAGGUUGGAAAUAUUUUUGCAAUACCACUGAAUCCUCCAGUUUUUACCCCUUACGAUGGGAAGUGAAUACAGUAUGAAAAGGGAGUGGGACAUAUGAGAGGAACGACAGGCUCAAAAUAUGAAGACUUAAUCCAGACACCUCUGUGUCUCUGAACUUGCGUUGUUUCUUCUUUGGAGGUGAAGUACACAUCGUUUUACUCCGGGCAGAGGACUUGUGCUCCUUUUGAGAACUUUCAGCUCUGUAGUGUCGAGUCUUCUGGUUUCCAGAUCCACAUCCUGCCCUGGGGGAAUUGACAUCCAUCAGAUGAAAAUACUGAGACCCAGACUGAUGAGGUACCUUGCUGUAGGUCCUGCUAUUACUUCUUCUAGGAAAGCACUCUGAAGCCAAGUUGAAACAUUAUACUCUCAGGCAGUAGUAGAGAUCAACCUCUUAAAACCAAAUCCAUGGGCCCAGGAGUAUGGAAAAGAGUUCAAUAAAAUGGCCUUAACUGGUAUAAGAAGUUACAAUUGUUAAAAGGAGAUUCAGCUGUGAUAGCAAAAGAGAAAGAAAAUGAAAAAGUUGUCCUGGCUCAUCUCUGGAAAGACAUGAUAUUUCAUAACCUCAAGGUGUUUGCUUCUGACCUAUAACUUCAAUUAUAGACCAGGUUAUCCAAAAGUUCUCCUUAUUAACAAGAAUUAUCAGUCUGAUACGUGGUAAGUAAGUGGUUUCUAGGUAUUUAAUAUGCCUUUUCCUGAUAACUAAUUUGCCAGAUAGAUUUUCCAAAAAUGGUUGCAACAAUAUCUCCCAUCCCUGAUUCUCUUCUUAAAUAUGACUUUGACAACUUUUCUAUCAAGAGGUAGGGUCUAUAUCCCCUUCCCUUGAAACUAAGAGGGUCUGUGGUUAAGGCAGAACUGACACUCAGUGACUUUUGAGCUAAGUCAUAAAAGAUGAUACAACUUAUGGCUGGUUCUGACUCAAUCUUGGAACCCAGCCAUCAUGUUGUGAAGAAUCUCAGGACAUUUACAGAGGCUUCAUAGGUUUCUGGCAGACAGCUCCAGCUUACAACAGCAUCAACCAACAGACUUGUGAGUGAAGAUGGCUCCUGAAGGUAUCAGCCCCCCGCUGUCCAGUCACCUCCCAGCUUUUGAGUCUUUCCAGCCGAGACCCCAGACACCAAGGCACAGAGACAAACGUCUGCAUUGUAACCUGUCCAAAAUUCUGACCCACAGAGUUCUUGGCAUAAUAUAAUGAUUGUUUUAUGUCACUAAAGUUUGGAGUGGCUUGUCACAUUGCAAUAAAAAAUUGCAACAACGAAGGAGGUUGAUUAUCUUUUCAUGCUUAUUGAUCAUUUGCAUUUCUUCUGUGUACUGUCUAUUCACAAAUUUUGCCUGUUUGACUCUUGGGUUAUUUGUCUUGCUCAUAUUUUCUGCAUAUUAAUCCUACUUUUGUUACCUAUAUUGCAAAUGUAUUCAACCAGUUGCUUGCUAGGUAAUAGAGAAAUUUGAGUUUUAUGUAUCCGUUCAUUGUUUUCAUUUUUUAGUCUUGGGGUUUUGUAUCUUUUUUUUUUUUUUUUUUUUUUUUUUUGAGACGACGGAGUCUCUCUCUGUCACCCAGGCUGGAGUGCAGUGGCGUGAUCUCCGCUCACUGCAAGCUCUGCCUCCCGGGUUCAUGCUGUUUUCCUGCCUCAGCCUCCCAAAUAGCUGGGACCACAGGCGCCCGCCACCAUGCCCAGCUAAUUUUUUUUUUUUUUGUAUUUUUUAGUAGAGACGGGGUUUCACUGUGUUAGCCAGGAUGGUCUCGAUCUCCUGACCUCGUGAUCCGCCAGCCUCGGCCUCCCGAAGUGCUGGGAUUACAGGCGUGAGCCACUGUGCCCGGCCGGUUUUGUGUCUUUUUUAGAAAAAGGCUUUCCCAUUUGAAGAAUAUAAAAAUAUCCUAUACUUUCUUCUAGCACUUUUAUACCUUUUCUUAUUCAUCAUAAGAUCAGUCUCUGACUCUAUCUUGAAUUUAUUAUUUUACAUGGUAUGGGACAGUGAAAAUCUAACUCUUUUUAGAUGGAUAGUCAGUUGUCUCUGUACCAUUUAUUUAAAUCAUCCAUUCUUUUUCCAUUGAUUUGAAAUGCCUCCUUUAUGAACUAAAUUCUUAAAUAAAUAUAUGUCUAUUUCUAGACUGUCUAUUCUGAACCAUUAAACUGUUUGAUCAUUACUACAAAAGUGCCAUUUUAUUUUAAUUUAUAUAGCUUUUUGAUAUGUUCUGAUAUCCAGUAGAACGCAUAGUAUAGUCUAAUUUUUCUUCCCCCAGAAAUAUCUUUGCAGAUUUUAAGAAUUUCGUCUUUCAGAUAAAUUUCAGAAUAAACUCGCCAAGUGCCUUGCUUGGCACUUAAGUCACAGCCUUGCUUUGACUUAAUAAAUUAAUGUGUAGCAAACUGACAUAUUUAUUAUGUCUUCUUGUAUAUUAACAUGGUAUAUUUCCCCAU